RNAcentral lists this ribosomal RNA (508 nucleotides) under uncultured bacterium. Its description in RNAcentral is "partial 16S ribosomal RNA". It matches the Rfam family "Bacterial small subunit ribosomal RNA", at positions 28 to 523 of the family's 1533-position model. The record is from RNAcentral.
GAUGAACGCUAGCUACAGGCUUAACACAUGCAAGUCGAGGGGAAACGAUAUUGGAAGCUUGCUUCCGAUAGGCGUCGGCCGGCGCGCGGGUGAGUAACGCGUAUCCAACCUGCCCACCACUUGGGGAUAACCUUGCGAAAGUAAGGCUAAUACCCAAUGAUAUCUCAAGAAGACAUCUGAAAGGGAUUAAAGAUUUAUCGGUGAUGGAUGGGGAUGCGUCUGAUUAGCUUGUUGGCGGGGUAACGGCCCACCAAGGCGACGAUCAGUAGGGGUUCUGAGAGGAAGGUCCCCCACAUUGGAACUGAGACACGGUCCAAACUCCUACGGGAGGCAGCAGUGAGGAAUAUUGGUCAAUGGGCGAGAGCCUGAACCAGCCAAGUAGCGUGCAGGAUGACGGCCCUAUGGGUUGUAAACUGCUUUUAUAAGGGAAUAAAGUGAGCCUCGUGAGGCUUUUUGCAUGUACCUUAUGAAUAAGGACCGGCUAAUUCCGUGCCAGCCGCCGCGGUAA